UAGUACGGCGAGUGAAGUGGGAAAAGCUCAACUUUAAAAUCUGGCAGCUUCGCUGUCCGAGUUGUAGUCUCGAGAAGUGUUUUCCGCGCUGGAUCGUGUAUGAGUCUGUUGGAAUACAGCGUCAUAGAGGGUGAGAACCCCGUUCAUGACACGACUACCAGUGCUUUGUGAUACACUUUCGAUGAGUCGAGUUGUUUGGGAAUGCAGCUCAAAAUGGGUGGUAAAUUCCAUCUAAAGCUAAAUAUUGGCGAGAGACCGAUAGCAAACAAGUACCGUGAGGGAAAGAUGAAAAGCACUUUGGAAAGAGGGUUAACAGUACGUGAAAUUGUCGAAAGGGAAACGCUUGAAGUCAGACGUGCGCGGUGCGAUUCAGCCUUGGUUCGCCAGGGUGUACUUCGUACCAUUGCAGGCCAGCAUCGGUUUUGUGAGCCGGAUAAAGGUUAGAGGAAGGUAGCGGUCCAGGCCGUGUUAUAGCCUCUAACUGAAUACGGAUUGUGAGACCGAGGGACGCAGCGCGCCGCAAGGCAAAGGGUCCGCCCUUUUCGCGCUUAGGAUGCUGGUGAAAUGGCUUUAAACGACCCGUCUUGA
RNAcentral lists this ribosomal RNA (588 nucleotides) under uncultured Sporobolomyces. Its description in RNAcentral is "eukaryotic LSU rRNA". It matches the Rfam family "Eukaryotic large subunit ribosomal RNA", at positions 81 to 657 of the family's 3401-position model. The record is from RNAcentral. Lineage: Eukaryota; Fungi; Basidiomycota.